ACGGGUGAGUAACACGUAUCCAACCUGCCGUCUACUCUUGGCCAGCCUUCUGAAAGGAAGAUUAAUCCAGGAUGGCAUCAUGAGUUCACAUGUCCGCAUGAUUAAAGGUAUUUUCCGGUAGACGAUGGGGAUGCGUUCCAUUAGGCAGUUGGUGAGGUAACGGCUCACCAAACCUUCGAUGGAUAGGGGUUCUGAGAGGAAGGUCCCCCACAUUGGAACUGAGACACGGUCCAA
This 234-nucleotide ribosomal RNA is filed under the name uncultured bacterium. Its description in RNAcentral is "partial 16S ribosomal RNA". It matches the Rfam family "Bacterial small subunit ribosomal RNA", at positions 102 to 334 of the family's 1533-position model. The record is from RNAcentral.